AACGCACCUUGCACCCUUUGGUAUUCCGAAGGGUACACCCGUUUGAGUGUCAUUGUACUCUCACCUCUUCCCCUUUCUGGUCCAGUAAUUGGAUCGCUUGGGUCGUUGACGGUGGACUUGGACGCUUGCCGUAGCCUUUGCUUAUGGCUCGUCUUAAAUGCAGGAGUGCGACCCCCUUUUGUCGGUGUCAUCCGGUGUGAUAAGCAUCUUCACUGGAGUAUCUUUGAGGGUCAGUGACCUUUGAAGAGCAUCGUUUGGGUGCGGUUUUUGCGCUGCUAACCGUCUUGUGACCGAGACAAUGCUUGACAAAUUUGACCUCAGAUCGGGUGGGACUACCCGCUGAACUUAA
Molecule: unclassified non-coding RNA, 349 nt
Filed under: uncultured fungus
Lineage: Eukaryota; Fungi
Description: partial contains 5.8S ribosomal RNA, internal transcribed spacer 2, and large subunit ribosomal RNA
Source: RNAcentral